Molecule: ribosomal RNA, 492 nt
Filed under: uncultured bacterium
Lineage: Bacteria
Description: partial 16S ribosomal RNA
Rfam family: Bacterial small subunit ribosomal RNA
Source: RNAcentral
AGUGAACGCUGGCGGUAGGCCUAACACAUGCAAGUCGAACGGAAGCACAGUAAGAGCUUGCUCUUACGGUUGGCGAGUGGCGGACGGGUGAGGAAUACAUCGGAAUCUACUUUUUCGUGGGGGAUAACGUAGGGAAACUUACGCCAAUACCGCAUACGACCUACGGGUGAAAGCAGGGGAUCUUCGGACCUUGCGCGAUUGAAUGAGCCGAUGCCGCAUUAGCUAGUUGGCGGGGUAAAGGCCCACCAAGGCGACGAUCCGUAGCUGGUCUGAGAGGAUGAUCAGCCACACUGGAACUGAGACACGGUCCAGACUCCUACGGGAGGCAGCAGUGGGGAAUAUUGGACAAUGGGCGCAAGCCUGAUCCAGCCAUACCGCGUGGGUGAAGAAGGCCUUCGGGUUGUAAAGCCCUUUUGUUGGGAAAGAAAAGCAGUAGGUUAAUACCCCGCUGUUCUGACGGUACCCAAAGAAUAAGCCCCGGCUAACUUCGUG